AGCAUAUCAAUAAGCGGAGGAAAAGAAACCAACCGGGAUUGCCUCAGUAACGGCGAGUGAAGCGGCAAAAGCUCAAAUUUGAAAUCUGCGUAAGCCGAGUUGUAAUUUGAAGAUGGCUACUUUGGUAAUGGCUCUUGUCUAUGUUCCUUGGAACAGGACGUCACAGAGGGUGAGAAUCCCGUGCGAUGAGAUGUCCAUUACCGUGUAAAGUGCUUUCGAAGAGUCGAGUUGUUUGGGAAUGCAGCUCUAAGUGGGUGGUAAAUUCCAUCUAAAGCUAAAUAUUGGCGAGAGACCGAUAGCGAACAAGUACAGUGAUGGAAAGAUGAAAAGAACUUUGAAAAGAGAGUGAAAAAGUACGUGAAAUUGUUGAAAGGGAAGGGCUUGAGAUCAGACUUGGUAUUUUGUAUGGCUUGCUUUCGGGCGGGUCCUCUGCAGUUUACUGGGCCAGCAUCGGUUUGGGUGGCAGGAUAAUAGCAUAGGAAUGUGGCUCUACUUCGGUGGAGUGUUAUAGCCUUUGUUGAUACUGCCUGCCUAGACCGAGGACUGCGUCUUUUGACUAGGAUGCUGGCAUAAUGAUCCUAAGCCGCCCGUCUUGAAACACGGACCAAGGAGUCUAACGUCUAUGCGAGUGUUUGGGUGUAAAACCCGUACGCGGAAUGAAAGUGAACGUAGAUGAGAGCCUUUUAGGCGCAUCAUCGACCGAUCCUGAUGUCUUCGGAUGGAUUUGAGUAAGAGCAUAGCUGUUGGGACCCGAAAGAUGGUGAACUAUGCCUGAAUAGGGUGAAGCCAGAGGAAACUCUGGUGGAGGCUCGUAGCGGUUCUGACGUGCAAAUCGAUCGUCGAAUUUGGGUAUAGGGGCGAAAGACUAAUCGAACCAUCUAGUAGCUGGUUCCUG
RNAcentral lists this ribosomal RNA (895 nucleotides) under Fermentozyma sake. Its description in RNAcentral is "LSU rRNA". It matches the Rfam family "Eukaryotic large subunit ribosomal RNA", at positions 37 to 960 of the family's 3401-position model. The record is from RNAcentral. Lineage: Eukaryota; Fungi; Ascomycota; Pichiomycetes; Serinales; Debaryomycetaceae.